AUUGAACGCUGGCGGCAUGCUUUACACAUGCCAGUCGAACGGUAACAGGCCUUCGGGUGCUGACGAGUGGCGCACGGGUGCGUAAUGCAUCGGAACGUGCCCAGAGGUGGGGGAUAACGCAGCGAAAGCUGUGCUAAUACCGCAUGUGAUCUGAGGAUGAAAGCGGGGGACCAAGCAGCAAUGUUUGGCCUCGCGCCUCUGGAGCGGCCGAUGUCAGAUUAGGUAGUUGGUGGGGUAAAGGCCUACCAAGCCGACGAUCUGUAGCUGGUCUGAGAGGACGACCAGCCACACUGGGACUGAGACACGGCCCAGACUCCUACGGGAGGCAGCAGUGGGGAAUUUUGGACAAUGGGCGCAAGCCUGAUCCAGCAAUGCCGCGUGCGGGAAGAAGGCCUUCGGGUUGUAAACCGCUUUUGUACGGAACGAAAAGGCUCUGGCUAAUACCUGGGGCUGAUGACGGUACCGUAAGAAUAAGCACCGGCUAACUACGUG
RNAcentral lists this ribosomal RNA (492 nucleotides) under uncultured bacterium. Its description in RNAcentral is "partial 16S ribosomal RNA". It matches the Rfam family "Bacterial small subunit ribosomal RNA", at positions 30 to 507 of the family's 1533-position model. The record is from RNAcentral.